GUCUACGGCCAUACCACCCUGAACACGCUGAUCUCGUCUGAUCUCGGAAGUAAAGCAAAGCCUGGAAGGGGCAGGUGAAUUAUUUGCUGAGUUG
This 94-nucleotide ribosomal RNA is filed under the name Erinaceus europaeus (western European hedgehog). Lineage: Eukaryota; Metazoa; Chordata; Mammalia; Eulipotyphla; Erinaceidae. The record is from RNAcentral.